Molecule: ribosomal RNA, 253 nt
Filed under: uncultured bacterium
Lineage: Bacteria
Description: partial 16S ribosomal RNA
Rfam family: Bacterial small subunit ribosomal RNA
Source: RNAcentral
UACGUAGGGGGCAAGCGUUGUCCGGAAUCAUUGGGCGUAAAGCGCGUGUAGGCGGCUUGGUAAGUCUGGUGUGAAAACUUGGGGCUCAACCCCAAGCGGGCAAUGGAUACUGCCUCGCUCGAGUCCGGGAGAGGAGAGCGGAACUCCCAGUGUAGCGGUGAAAUGCGCAGAUAUUGGGAAGAACACCGGUGGUGAAGGCGGCUCUCUGGAACGGUACUGACGCUGAGACGCGAAAGCGUGGGGAGCGAACAGG